This 406-nucleotide ribosomal RNA is filed under the name uncultured bacterium. RNAcentral describes it as "partial 16S ribosomal RNA". It matches the Rfam family "Bacterial small subunit ribosomal RNA", at positions 30 to 526 of the family's 1533-position model. The record is from RNAcentral.
AUUGAACGCUGGCGGCAGGCCUAACACAUGCAAGUCGAACGAGUGGCGGACGGGUGAGUAAUGUAUGGGAAACUGCGUGAUGGCGAGGGAUAACUACUGGAACCGGUAGCUAAUACCGCCUACCAUACGAUGUGCCCAGAUGGGAUUAGCUAGUUGGUUGGGUAACGGCUCACCAAGGCGACGAUCCCUAGCUGGUCUGAGAGGAUGACCAGCCACACUUGAACUGAGACACGGUCCAGACUCCUACGGGAGGCAGCAGUGGGGAAUAUUGCACAAUGGGCGCAAGCCUGAUGCAGCCAUGCCGCGUGUAUGAAGAAGGCCUUCGGGUUGGAAAGUACGUUCAGCGGGGAGGCGUUACCCGCAGAAGAAGCACCGGCUAACUCCGUGCCAGCAGCCGCGGUAAUAC